This 620-nucleotide ribosomal RNA is filed under the name uncultured Basidiomycota. RNAcentral describes it as "LSU rRNA". It matches the Rfam family "Eukaryotic large subunit ribosomal RNA", at positions 1 to 624 of the family's 3401-position model. Lineage: Eukaryota; Fungi; Basidiomycota. The record is from RNAcentral.
CCUCGAAUCAGGUGGGACUACCCGCUGAACUUAAGCAUAUCAAUAAGCGGAGGAAAAGAAACUAACAAGGAUUCCCCUAGUAACGGCGAGUGAAGCGGGAUGAGCUCAAAUUUAAAAUCUGAUAGUCUUUGGCUGUCCGAGUUGUAAUCUAGAGAAGUGUUUUCCGCGUUGGACCAUGUACAAGUUUCCUGGAACGGAACGUCGUAGAGGGUGAGAAUCCCGUCCUUGACAUGGACUACCAGUGCUUUGUGAUACACUCUCAACGAGUCGAGUUGUUUGGGAUUGCAGCUCAAAAUGGGAGGUAAAUUCCUUCUAAAGCUAAAUAUUGGCGAGAGACCGAUAGCGAACAAGUACCGUGAGGGAAAGAUGAAAAGCACUUUGGAAGGAGAGUUAAACAGUACGUGAAAUUGUUAAAAGGGAAACGAUUGAAGUCAGUCGCGUUUACAUGGACUCAGCCUUACCUCGGUUUGGUGCAUUUCCUUGUGAACGGGCCAGCGUCAAUGUUGUCCGUUGGAAAAGGGUUGGAGAAAUGUGGCUCUUUCGGGAGUGUUAUAGUCUCUGAUCGUAUACAACGGCUGAUAUUGAGUGGUACAGCAUGCUUCGGCGGUGCUUGUGCUGGC